UGGGGAAUAUUGCGCAAUGGGCGAAAGCCUGACGCAGCGACGCCGCGUGAGGGAUGAAGGUUUUCGGAUCGUAAACCUCUGUCAGAAGGGAAGAAACCGCACUGUGCUAAUCAGCAGUGCCUUGACGGUACCUUCAAAGGAAGCACCGGCUAACUCCGUGCCAGCAGCCGCGGUAAUACGGAGGGUGCAAGCGUUAAUCGGAAUUACUGGGCGUAAAGCGCACGUAGGCUGCUUUGUAAGUCAGGGGUGAAAUCCCACGGCUCAACCGUGGAACUGCCUUUGAUACUGCUUAGCUUGAAUCCGGGAGAGGGUGGCGGAAUUCCAGGUGUAGGAGUGAAAUCCGUAGAUAUCUGGAGGAACAUCAGUGGCGAAGGCGGCCACCUGGACCUGUAUUGACGCUGAGGUGCGCAAGCGUUGGGAGCAAACAGG
This 429-nucleotide ribosomal RNA is filed under the name Fusobacteriota bacterium. RNAcentral's name for it is "Fusobacteria bacterium partial 16S ribosomal RNA". It matches the Rfam family "Bacterial small subunit ribosomal RNA", at positions 355 to 776 of the family's 1533-position model. Lineage: Bacteria; Fusobacteriati; Fusobacteriota. The record is from RNAcentral.